This 232-nucleotide long non-coding RNA is filed under the name Elaeis guineensis (African oil palm). Its description in RNAcentral is "long non-coding RNA (EGUI_LNC064297)". The record is from RNAcentral. Lineage: Eukaryota; Viridiplantae; Streptophyta; Magnoliopsida; Arecales; Arecaceae.
GCCAUUUUAAUAUGGUGAUUUAAUUUCAACGUGUGGAGGAGUUGGGAUGCCAAAAGUUGGCGUCCCUUGGAGAUUACAUGGCACCCCUUUAUUUUCUAUUUAAAGGGGGUGCUAAACCUUGUUUAAUCAUCCCAUUUUUGUUGAGAUGAGGCAUGAGAAUGAGAAGAAAAAUGGUGGUAAAAAAAUCUGAAAAAGAAAAAGAAAAAGAGGAAGAAAAAUAGAAAGGAAGAGA